This 368-nucleotide ribosomal RNA is filed under the name Laurencia nidifica. RNAcentral describes it as "bacterial LSU rRNA". It matches the Rfam family "Bacterial large subunit ribosomal RNA", at positions 2099 to 2465 of the family's 2925-position model. The record is from RNAcentral. Lineage: Eukaryota; Rhodophyta; Florideophyceae; Ceramiales; Rhodomelaceae.
CUUUACUGUAGCUUGGAAUUGAUUUCGGGUUUAUUUUGCGCAGUAUAGGUGGGAGGCUGAGAAUUUAUGUUUGCGGAUAUAAAUGAGCCAAAAGUGAGAUACCACUCUGAUUAAACUAGAAUUCUAAUCUUGAUGCCGUUAUCCGGCCAAGAGACAUUUUCAGGUAGGCAGUUUGACUGGGGCGGUCGCCUCCUAAAAGGUAACGGAGGCGUGCAAAGGUUUCCUCAGGCUGGUCGGAAAUCAGUCGUAGAGUAUAAAGGUAUAAGGAAGCUUGACUGUGAGACUUACAAGUCGAACAGAGACGAAAGUCGGCCUUAGUGAUCCGACAGUUCUGAGUGGAAAGGCUGUCGCUCAACGGAUAAAAGUUA